This 440-nucleotide ribosomal RNA is filed under the name uncultured bacterium. RNAcentral describes it as "partial 16S ribosomal RNA". It matches the Rfam family "Bacterial small subunit ribosomal RNA", at positions 338 to 795 of the family's 1533-position model. The record is from RNAcentral.
CCUACGGGUGGCAGCAGUGGGGCAUAUUGCACAAUGGGGGAAACCCUGAUGCAGCGACGCCGCGUGAGUGAAGAAGUAUUUCGGUAUGUAAAGCUCUGUCAGCAGGGAAGAAAAUGACGGUACCUGACCAUGAAGCCCCGGCUAACUACGUGCCAGCAGCCGCGGUAAUACGUAGGGGGCAAGCGUUAGCCGGAUUUACUGGGUGUAAAGGGAGCGUAGACGGCAGGGCAAGUCUGGAGUGAAAGGCGGGGGCUCAACCCCCGGACUGCUCUGGAAACUGCCAGGCUGGAGUGCAGGAGAGGUAAGUGGAAUUCCUGGUGUAGCGGUGAAAUGCGUAGAUAUUAGGAGGAACACCAGUGGCGAAGGCGGCUUACUGGACUGUAACUGACAUUGAUGCUCGAAAGUGUGGGUAUCAAACAGGAUUAGAUACCCUAGUAGUC